Long non-coding RNA from Neopsephotus bourkii (Bourke's parrot), 507 nucleotides. RefSeq lists it as uncharacterized. The transcript has 3 exons. The record is from RefSeq and is a predicted model, not a curated record. Lineage: Eukaryota; Metazoa; Chordata; Aves; Psittaciformes; Psittacidae.
AAUGAAGUUGCUUGUGUGUGUUCCCCUCCCCCUCAACUUUUUAAUCACCCCAAAGUUCCCUGCAGCAUUUUAUUGCUGGGUAAAUUUGCACACUUGGCCAACUCAGCUGAAAGGUCAUUGGCAUAUGUACUUUUCUUCUGUCCUUACUUCCAUUAUGUUUAAGGUUCAGGAACCUGAAAUUGUGCACACUGAAGCCAGGAAGCCUGGUGUGAAGCAGAGAGAAGUGUUCUGGUAGGAAGCCAGAAGGAGAGGAAUUUGAGAGAUAUAAUGACAUGAGAACCACUCUUAAUUCUUGAACUACCUACAACCAGCUCUGCUGUGACCCUGCAGAAGCAAUCUGUGAAGCUGUCAGCUCAGUGAAAGUGAGGUCAAUCUGACCACACUCUUCCUAAAGGAUCCUCUUCUGAACCACCUACUUGAGUAUACAUCUCCUGACAAAUCAAUGACAGAAUCGAGAGCUAUGUACUUUGCCCAGAAACCUGGAGGCUGAUUGUCCUUUGCCGUGCA